This 435-nucleotide ribosomal RNA is filed under the name uncultured bacterium. Its description in RNAcentral is "partial 16S ribosomal RNA". It matches the Rfam family "Bacterial small subunit ribosomal RNA", at positions 29 to 507 of the family's 1533-position model. The record is from RNAcentral.
AGCGAACGCUGGCGGCAGGCUUAACACAUGCAAGUCGAACGGGCAUCUUCGGAUGUCAGUGGCAGACGGGUGAGUAACACGUGGGAACGUACCCUUCGGUUCGGAAUAACUCAGGGAAACUUGAGCUAAUACCGGAUACGCCCUUUUGGGGAAAGGUUUACUGCCGAAGGAUCGGCCCGCGUCUGAUCAGCUUGUUGGUGGGGUAACGGCCUACCAAGGCGACGAUCAGUAGCUGGUCUGAGAGGAUGAUCAGCCACACUGGGACUGAGACACGGCCCAGACUCCUACGGGAGGCAGCAGUGGGGAAUAUUGGACAAUGGGCGCAAGCCUGAUCCAGCCAUGCCGCGUGAGUGAUGAAGGCCUUAGGGUUGUAAAGCUCUUUUGUCCGGGACGAUAAUGACGGUACCGGAAGAAUAAGCCCCGGCUAACUUCGUG